GGUUGUGCUCAGCGGCAGAGCGCUCGCCUAGCACAUGCGAGGCCCUGGGUUCGAUCCUCAGCACCA
This 66-nucleotide transfer RNA is filed under the name Marmota monax (woodchuck). RNAcentral describes it as "tRNA.Ala". The record is from RNAcentral. Lineage: Eukaryota; Metazoa; Chordata; Mammalia; Rodentia; Sciuridae.